CGGGGGAUAACUAUUGGAAACGAUAGCUAAUACCGCAUAAAAGUCGACAUUGCAUGAUGUUGACUUGAAAGGUGCAAAUGCAUCACUAAGAGAUGGACCUGCGUUGUAUUAGCUAGUUGGUGAGGUAACGGCUCACCAAGGCGACGAUACAUAGCCGACCUGAGAGGGUGAUCGGCCACACUGGGACUGAGACACGGCCCAGACUCCUACGGGAGGCAGCAGUAGGGAAUCUUCGGCAAUGGGGGCAACCCUGACCGAGCAACGCCGCGUGAGUGAAGAAGGUUUUCGGAUCGUAAAGCUCUGUUGUAAGAGAAGAACGAGUGUGAGAGUGGAAAGUUCACGCUGUGACGGUAUCUUACCAGAAAGGGACGGCUAACUACGUGCCAGCAGCCGCGGUAAUACGUAGGUCCCGAGCGUUAUCCGGAUUUAUUGGGCGUAAAGCGAGCGCAGGCGGUUAGAUAAGUCUGAAGUUAAAGGCUGUGGCUUAACCAUAGUACGCUUUGGAAACUGUUUAACUUGAGUGCAGAAGGGGAGAGUGGAAUUCCAUGUGUAGCGGUGAAAUGCGUAGAUAUAUGGAGGAACACCGGUGGCGAAAGCGGCUCU
RNAcentral lists this ribosomal RNA (603 nucleotides) under uncultured Bacilli bacterium. RNAcentral describes it as "bacterial SSU rRNA". It matches the Rfam family "Bacterial small subunit ribosomal RNA", at positions 137 to 728 of the family's 1533-position model. The record is from RNAcentral. Lineage: Bacteria; Bacillati; Bacillota; Bacilli.